Molecule: ribosomal RNA, 460 nt
Filed under: uncultured bacterium
Lineage: Bacteria
Description: partial 16S ribosomal RNA
Rfam family: Bacterial small subunit ribosomal RNA
Source: RNAcentral
CCUACGGGAGGCAGCAGUGAGGAAUAUUGGUCAAUGGACGAGAGUCUGAACCAGCCAAGUAGCGUGAAGGAUGACUGCCCUAUGGGUUGUAAACUUCUUUUAUAAAGGAAUAAAACGAGGCACGUGUGCCUUUUUGCAUGUACUUUAUGAAUAAGGAUCGGCUAACUCCGUGCCAGCAGCCGCGGUAAUACGGAGGAUCCGAGCGUUAUCCGGAUUUAUUGGGUUUAAAGGGAGCGUAGAUGGGUUGUUAAGUCAGUUGUUAAAGUUUGCGGCUCAACCGUAAAAUUGCAAUUGAUACUGGCAGUCUUGAGUACAGUUGAGGUAUGCGGAAUUCGUGGUGUAGCGGUGAAAUGCUUAGAUAUCACGAAGAACCCCGAUUGCGAAGGCAGCUUACUAAACUGUGACUGACAUUGAUGCUCGAAAGUGUGGGUAUCAAACAGGAUUAGAUACCCGGGUAGUC